AUGCCGCCGAGGAAGGCCCCGAAGAGCAAGACAGGGUUCUUCGGCACGAGGGCGAAGCCCUCCGGCAACUUCAGGGUGGAGUUCAGCGACGCCGGCCAUCGCUUUUGACUCGACACCUACCCCACCGUCCACAAGGCCGCGCGUGUCUAUGACGUGGCAGUGUGGCGUGCCGGGAGGCCGAGGAACGACCUCAACUUCCCGGAGAUCGAGACCCAGGCGGAUGCGGAGUUGCUCAUGCCGAGAGGCAUUCGCAUGGAGGAGAUCACGACAAAGAAGAUGAAGAAGAGGCCCACCAUUGACAUUAGUCCCGGCGAUAGCAGCGACGCGGUGAUGGCGAGGUUCGUGCGUGAGCAUCCAGAGCAUGUGCAGGCUGAGCAGGAGUUCUUCUGGAAGCGCGACGCGGAGAAGAAGAAGAAGAAGAAGAAGAAGAAGAAGAAGAAGAAGAAGAAGAAGAAGAAGAAGAAGAAGAAGGAUGAGGCAGGCCCCUCGACGGUGAUCCCCGUUGAGUCUGACUCGUUGGAUUGGGGUGAAUCGGAGGAGGAGGACGAGGGGUGCGAUGACCUGGACAAGGAUGAGUUAUGGGCGCAGUUUUCACACCUUCCGAUGAUGAGUAGUUUUAUUAUCUUCAGUGUAGUUCAAGUAGUAGUUUGA
This 651-nucleotide ribosomal RNA is filed under the name Triticum aestivum (bread wheat). Its description in RNAcentral is "partial small subunit ribosomal RNA". Lineage: Eukaryota; Viridiplantae; Streptophyta; Magnoliopsida; Poales; Poaceae. The record is from RNAcentral.